AUACGUAGGGGGCGAGCGUUGUCCGGAAUUACUGGGCGUAAAGGGUGCGUAGGCGGCCGAUUAAGUCAGAUGUGAAAUACCACGGCUCAACUGUGGGGGUGCAUAUGAAACUGGUUGGCUUGAGUGCAGGAGAGGAAAGUGGAAUUCCUAGUGUAGCGGUGAAAUGCGUAGAGAUUAGGAGGAACACCAGUGGCGAAGGCGACUUUCUGGACUGUAACUGACGCUGAGGCACGAAAGCGUGGGGAGCAAACAGGAUUAGAUACCCUGGUAGUCCACGCCGUAAACGAUGGAUACUAGGUGUAGGGGGUAUCGACCCCCCUGUGCCGGAGUUAACGCAAUAAGUAUCCCGCCUGGGGAGUACGGCCGCAAGGCUGAA
Molecule: ribosomal RNA, 376 nt
Filed under: uncultured bacterium
Lineage: Bacteria
Description: bacterial SSU rRNA
Rfam family: Bacterial small subunit ribosomal RNA
Source: RNAcentral